Molecule: long non-coding RNA, 545 nt
Organism: Pongo pygmaeus (Bornean orangutan)
Lineage: Eukaryota; Metazoa; Chordata; Mammalia; Primates; Hominidae
Exons: 3
Source: RefSeq, a predicted model, not a curated record
AAAUAUCAACCAGUCAACAUCGAAUGCCAUUUGAUCUCAUCCCCUUUGGCUUGGGAAACCUGUGACUACCCACACUCAGGGGCCAUCGGCAUGGAAAGUAUUAGUUUCUGUGCAGCCCAGGAGCUCUAUAGGAAGCGGUGGAAUCCCAAAGAGAUGUUAAAUGCGUAUGCAAGAAUGUGCCAAGACCUAUUCUCCACACUCCUGUUCCAGUAAAUAAAACAAUAAGGACUUAUGGUCUGUUUCUUUCUGCACAUGAGAUCAUUCUCUUUAUCUGAAGACCAGUCUUCUAUGAUUUGAAGUACAGGUAGCCAGCCUAUCCCUGCCUUUAUGUGGUCAUUCUGGUCUACAUCAAGUACUAUGUUGAGCCUCUACACUCCCAGCUUCCAAGACCUGGGACACACUAUUUCAUUUUAUCCUAGGUCUCCACCCACCACAGGUAAUAUUAGAGAUGACAAGGACUGCAUGACUCGCAGCUCAUGCGUAUGCACUGUAGGUACAAGUUCUCCAGAAUGGUGUGGACAAGAUUGUGGGAGAAAAAUGCAUCA